CCCUUAGAUGUUCUGGGCCGCACGCGCGCUACACUGAACAGUUCAACAAGUCUUAACCUUGGCCGAUAGGUCUGGGUAAUCUUUGAACGCUGUUCGUGACUGGGAUAGACCUUUGCAAUUAUGGGUCUUCAACGAGGAAUUCCUAGUAAACGCAAGUCAUCAGCUUGCAUUGAUUACGUCCCUGCCCUUUGUACACACCGCCCGUCGCACCUACCGAUUGAAUGGUCCGGUGAAAUCUCGGGACGGCGGCUUGGUCGCUUGCGUCCGACUGCUGAAACUUGAUUAAACCAUAUCAUUUAGAGGAAGGUGAANUCGUANCA
RNAcentral lists this ribosomal RNA (320 nucleotides) under uncultured eukaryote. Its description in RNAcentral is "partial 18S ribosomal RNA". It matches the Rfam family "Eukaryotic small subunit ribosomal RNA", at positions 1470 to 1796 of the family's 1831-position model. The record is from RNAcentral.